This 2904-nucleotide ribosomal RNA is filed under the name Escherichia coli. RNAcentral describes it as "23S ribosomal RNA". It matches the Rfam family "Bacterial large subunit ribosomal RNA". The record is from RNAcentral. Lineage: Bacteria; Pseudomonadati; Pseudomonadota; Gammaproteobacteria; Enterobacterales; Enterobacteriaceae.
GGUUAAGCGACUAAGCGUACACGGUGGAUGCCCUGGCAGUCAGAGGCGAUGAAGGACGUGCUAAUCUGCGAUAAGCGUCGGUAAGGUGAUAUGAACCGUUAUAACCGGCGAUUUCCGAAUGGGGAAACCCAGUGUGAUUCGUCACACUAUCAUUAACUGAAUCCAUAGGUUAAUGAGGCGAACCGGGGGAACUGAAACAUCUAAGUACCCCGAGGAAAAGAAAUCAACCGAGAUUCCCCCAGUAGCGGCGAGCGAACGGGGAGCAGCCCAGAGCCUGAAUCAGUGUGUGUGUUAGUGGAAGCGUCUGGAAAGGCGCGCGAUACAGGGUGACAGCCCCGUACACAAAAAUGCACAUGCUGUGAGCUCGAUGAGUAGGGCGGGACACGUGGUAUCCUGUCUGAAUAUGGGGGGACCAUCCUCCAAGGCUAAAUACUCCUGACUGACCGAUAGUGAACCAGUACCGUGAGGGAAAGGCGAAAAGAACCCCGGCGAGGGGAGUGAAAAAGAACCUGAAACCGUGUACGUACAAGCAGUGGGAGCACGCUUAGGCGUGUGACUGCGUACCUUUUGUAUAAUGGGUCAGCGACUUAUAUUCUGUAGCAAGGUUAACCGAAUAGGGGAGCCGAAGGGAAACCGAGUCUUAACUGGGCGUUAAGUUGCAGGGUAUAGACCCGAAACCCGGUGAUCUAGCCAUGGGCAGGUUGAAGGUUGGGUAACACUAACUGGAGGACCGAACCGACUAAUGUUGAAAAAUUAGCGGAUGACUUGUGGCUGGGGGUGAAAGGCCAAUCAAACCGGGAGAUAGCUGGUUCUCCCCGAAAGCUAUUUAGGUAGCGCCUCGUGAAUUCAUCUCCGGGGGUAGAGCACUGUUUCGGCAAGGGGGUCAUCCCGACUUACCAACCCGAUGCAAACUGCGAAUACCGGAGAAUGUUAUCACGGGAGACACACGGCGGGUGCUAACGUCCGUCGUGAAGAGGGAAACAACCCAGACCGCCAGCUAAGGUCCCAAAGUCAUGGUUAAGUGGGAAACGAUGUGGGAAGGCCCAGACAGCCAGGAUGUUGGCUUAGAAGCAGCCAUCAUUUAAAGAAAGCGUAAUAGCUCACUGGUCGAGUCGGCCUGCGCGGAAGAUGUAACGGGGCUAAACCAUGCACCGAAGCUGCGGCAGCGACGCUUAUGCGUUGUUGGGUAGGGGAGCGUUCUGUAAGCCUGUGAAGGUGUACUGUGAGGUAUGCUGGAGGUAUCAGAAGUGCGAAUGCUGACAUAAGUAACGAUAAAGCGGGUGAAAAGCCCGCUCGCCGGAAGACCAAGGGUUCCUGUCCAACGUUAAUCGGGGCAGGGUGAGUCGACCCCUAAGGCGAGGCCGAAAGGCGUAGUCGAUGGGAAACAGGUUAAUAUUCCUGUACUUGGUGUUACUGCGAAGGGGGGACGGAGAAGGCUAUGUUGGCCGGGCGACGGUUGUCCCGGUUUAAGCGUGUAGGCUGGUUUUCCAGGCAAAUCCGGAAAAUCAAGGCUGAGGCGUGAUGACGAGGCACUACGGUGCUGAAGCAACAAAUGCCCUGCUUCCAGGAAAAGCCUCUAAGCAUCAGGUAACAUCAAAUCGUACCCCAAACCGACACAGGUGGUCAGGUAGAGAAUACCAAGGCGCUUGAGAGAACUCGGGUGAAGGAACUAGGCAAAAUGGUGCCGUAACUUCGGGAGAAGGCACGCUGAUAUGUAGGUGAAGUCCCUCGCGGAUGGAGCUGAAAUCAGUCGAAGAUACCAGCUGGCUGCAACUGUUUAUUAAAAACACAGCACUGUGCAAACACGAAAGUGGACGUAUACGGUGUGACGCCUGCCCGGUGCCGGAAGGUUAAUUGAUGGGGUCAGCGCAAGCGAAGCUCUUGAUCGAAGCCCCGGUAAACGGCGGCCGUAACUAUAACGGUCCUAAGGUAGCGAAAUUCCUUGUCGGGUAAGUUCCGACCUGCACGAAUGGCGUAAUGAUGGCCAGGCUGUCUCCACCCGAGACUCAGUGAAAUUGAACUCGCUGUGAAGAUGCAGUGUACCCGCGGCAAGACGGAAAGACCCCGUGAACCUUUACUAUAGCUUGACACUGAACAUUGAGCCUUGAUGUGUAGGAUAGGUGGGAGGCUUUGAAGUGUGGACGCCAGUCUGCAUGGAGCCGGCCUUGAAAUACCACCCUUUAAUGUUUGAUGUUCUAACGUUGACCCGUGAUCCGGGUUGCGGACAGUGUCUGGUGGGUAGUUUGACUGGGGCGGUCUCCUCCUAAAGAGUAACGGAGGAGCACGAAGGUUGGCUAAUCCUGGUCGGACAUCAGGAGGUUAGUGCAAUGGCAUAAGCCAGCUUGACUGCGAGCGUGACGGCGCGAGCAGGUGCGAAAGCAGGUCAUAGUGAUCCGGUGGUUCUGAAUGGAAGGGCCAUCGCUCAACGGAUAAAAGGUACUCCGGGGAUAACAGGCUGAUACCGCCCAAGAGUUCAUAUCGACGGCGGUGUUUGGCACCUCGAUGUCGGCUCAUCACAUCCUGGGGCUGAAGUAGGUCCCAAGGGUAUGGCUGUUCGCCAUUUAAAGUGGUACGCGAGCUGGGUUUAGAACGUCGUGAGACAGUUCGGUCCCUAUCUGCCGUGGGCGCUGGAGAACUGAGGGGGGCUGCUCCUAGUACGAGAGGACCGGAGUGGACGCAUCACUGGUGUUCGGGUUGUCAUGCCAAUGGCACUGCCCGGUAGCUAAAUGCGGAAGAGAUAAGUGCUGAAAGCAUCUAAGCACGAAACUUGCCCCGAGAUGAGUUCUCCCUGACUCCUUGAGAGUCCUGAAGGAACGUUGAAGACGACGACGUUGAUAGGCCGGGUGUGUAAGCGCAGCGAUGCGUUGAGCUAACCGGUACUAAUGAACCGUGAGGCUUAACCUU